AGUCUGGUGCCAGCAGCCGCGGUAAUUCCAGCUCCAAUAGUGUAUACUAAAGUUGCUGCAGUUAAAAAGCUCGUAGUUGGAUUUCGGUUAAUGAAAAGUUAGUCCACUUAAUAUAUAAGUGCGUACUGACGUUUUAUUUCCUUCUUUUCAGAUAUACAACUUGUUGUGUUCUGAAUCUUUUACUUUGAGAAAAUUAGAGUGUUCAAAGCAGGCGUAACCAAGCCUUUGAAUAUAUUAGCAUGGGAUAAUGGAAUAAGACUUUUUGCCUUAUUUUCGUUGGUUCUUGAGGCUAAAGUAAUGAUUAAUAGGGAUAGUUGGGGUCAUUAGUAUUUAAUUGUCAGAGGUGAAAUUCUAAGAUUUAUUAAAGACUAACUACUGCGAAAGCAUUUGACAAGGAUGUUUUCAUUAAUCAAGAACGAAAGUUGGGGGAUCGAAGAUGAUCAGAUACCGUCGUAGUCUCAACCAUAAACUAUGCCGACCAAGGAUUCGGGGGUGUUAUAUGAAUGACCCUCCGGGCACUUAUAGAGAAAUCAUAAGUAUUUGGGUUCCGGGGGGAGUAUGGUCGCAAGGCUGUAACUUAAAGGAAUUGACGGAAGGGCACCACCAGGAGUGGAAUAUGCGGUUUAAUUUGACUCAACACGGGAAAACUUACCAGGUCCAGACACAGUGAGGAUUGACAGAUUGAGAGCUCUUUCUUGAUUUUGUGGGUGGUGGUGCAUGGCCGUUUCUAGUUGGUGGAGUGAUUUGUCUGGUUAAUUCCGUUAACGAACGAGACCUUAACCUAUUAAAUAGUUACACAUACUUGGGAUUCGUCCUAAUAGUAUGUGGUUAACUUCUUAGAGGGACUCUUCACGUAAAGAGUGAAUGGAAGUUUGAGGCAAAAACAGGUCUGUGAUGCCCUUAGAUGUUCUGGGCUACACGCGUGUUACACUGAUAUAUUCAACAAGCAUUAUAAUUCCUUACCCGAUGGGGUUGGGUAAUCUUUUAAAUGUAUAUCGUGAUGGGGAUAGACCAUUGUAAUUAUUGGUCUUGAACGAGGAAUUCCUAGUAAGUGCAAGUCAUUAGCUUGCGCUGAUUACGUCCCUGCCCUUUGUACACACCGCCCGUCGCUCCUACCGAUGAAUGGUCCGGUGAGGACUCAGGAUGACCGUGGAUUUUGGUAUAAUAUACCAUGCCAUUGUUUGUCAGAAUCUGUUCAAACCUUAUCAUUUAAAGGAAGGAGAAGUCGUAACAAGGUUUCCGUAGGUGAACCUGCGGAAG
This 1260-nucleotide ribosomal RNA is filed under the name metagenome. RNAcentral's name for it is "SSU rRNA". It matches the Rfam family "Eukaryotic small subunit ribosomal RNA", at positions 558 to 1823 of the family's 1831-position model. The record is from RNAcentral.